UGGGGAAUCUUGCGCAAUGGGCGAAAGCCUGACGCAGCAACGCCGCGUGGGGGAUGAAGGCUUUCGGGUUGUAAACCCCUUUCAGCAGGGACGAUUAUGACGGUACCUGCAGAAGAAGGACCGGCCAACUACGUGCCAGCAGCCGCGGUAAUACGUAGGGUCCAAGCGUUGUCCGGAUUUAUUGGGCGUAAAGAGCUCGUAGGUGGUUCGCUAAGUCGGAUGUGAAAACUCGGGGCUCAACCCCGAGACGCCAUCCGAUACUGGCGUGACUUGAGUCUGGUAGGGGAGAUCGGAAUUCCUGGUGUAGCGGUGAAAUGCGCAGAUAUCAGGAGGAACACCGGUGGCGAAGGCGGAUCUCUGGGCCAGUACUGACACUGAGGAGCGAAAGCAUGGGGAGCGAAC
RNAcentral lists this ribosomal RNA (402 nucleotides) under uncultured bacterium. Its description in RNAcentral is "bacterial SSU rRNA". It matches the Rfam family "Bacterial small subunit ribosomal RNA", at positions 355 to 773 of the family's 1533-position model. The record is from RNAcentral.